GAGGUAAUGGCCCACCAAGGCGACGACGGGUAGCUGGUCUGAGAGGACGACCAGCCACACUGGAACUGAGAUACGGUCCAGACUCCUACGGGAGGCAGCAGUGGGGAAUAUUGCACAAUGGGCGAAAGCCUGAUGCAGCGACGCCGCGUGAGGGAUGAAGGCCUUCGGGUUGUAAACCUCUUUCGGCAGGGACGAAGCGAUCAGUGACGGUACCUGCAGAAGAAGCCCCGGCUAACUACGUGCCAGCAGCCGCGGUAAGACGUAGGGGGGGAGCGUUGUCCGGAUUCAUUGGGCGUAAAGCGCGCGUAGGCGGCUGCGCAAGUCGGGUGUGAAACCCCGGGGCUCAACCCCGGAACUGCAUCCGAUACUGCGCGGCUAGAGGUAGGUAGGGGAGAUCGGAAUUCCUGGUGUAGCGGUGAAAUGCGCAGAUAUCAGGAGGAACACCGGUGGCGAAGGCGGAUCUCUGGGCCUUACCUGACGCUCAGGCGCGAAAGCUAGGGGAGCGAACAGGAUUAGAUACCCUGGUAGUCCUAGCCGUAAACGUUGGGUGCUA
Molecule: ribosomal RNA, 553 nt
Filed under: uncultured Actinomycetes bacterium
Lineage: Bacteria; Bacillati; Actinomycetota; Actinomycetes
Description: bacterial SSU rRNA
Rfam family: Bacterial small subunit ribosomal RNA
Source: RNAcentral